UACGUAGGGUGCUAGCGUUGUUCGGAAUCAUUGGGCGUAAAGCGAGUGCAGGCCGUUAAAUAAGUCGGAUGUGAAAUCCCUGGGCUCAACCGAGGAAGUGCAUUCGAAACUAUUUAGCUAGAAGAUGGUAGAGGAAGGUGGAAUUCCAAGUGUAGAGGUGAAAUUCGUAGAUAUUUGGAGGAAUACCGGUGGCGAAGGCGGCCUUCUUGACCAUUCUUGACGCUGAGACUCGAAAGCGUGGGUAGCAAACAGG
RNAcentral lists this ribosomal RNA (253 nucleotides) under uncultured bacterium. RNAcentral describes it as "partial 16S ribosomal RNA". It matches the Rfam family "Bacterial small subunit ribosomal RNA", at positions 524 to 776 of the family's 1533-position model. The record is from RNAcentral.